AAGUUUGUUUUUAUGAAAG
RNAcentral lists this microRNA (19 nucleotides) under Corchorus olitorius. RNAcentral's name for it is "tca-miR-3837-". The record is from RNAcentral. Lineage: Eukaryota; Viridiplantae; Streptophyta; Magnoliopsida; Malvales; Malvaceae.